AUUUUUGCUUUGGUUGCCUGUGCUUUUGAGGUCUUUGUGUACAGGUUUUUGUGUGGAUGGAUGUUUUCUUGGAAGCUAACUUUUCGAACCAGACAUCUAGUAGCGUUUUUGUAGCUUUCUGGACGUUCAACUCUUUGAACAGUUGAACUAUGGGAAUCUUGCCCAUGUCCUGCCUCACCUUCCUCCAGAGAACUCCGGCCGAAUCCCGGGAGAAGAACCGCGAGUGCAUUCUGCUGGAUUUCUUCGAUGACCAUGACAUCUGGCACUUCCUCUCUGCUACUGCUCUGUUUUUCUCAUUCUUGGUUUUGUUAACUUUGGAUGAUGACCUUGAUGUGGUUCGGAGAGACCAGAUCCCUGUCUUCUGAACCUCCAACAUUAAGAGAGGGGAGGGAGCAAUCAAUCUUGGUGCUGUUUCACGAGAAUUACAGUGACCACAGCAAAGUAACCACUGCCAGAUGCUCCAUUCACCCUCUGUAGAGCCAACUCUGCAUUCACACAGGAAGGAGAGGGGCUGCGGGAGAUUUAAACCUGCAAGAAAGGAGGCAGAAGGGGAGCCAUGUUUUGAGGAUGGACGCAA
This 577-nucleotide small RNA is filed under the name Pan troglodytes (chimpanzee). RNAcentral's name for it is "retained intron". The record is from RNAcentral. Lineage: Eukaryota; Metazoa; Chordata; Mammalia; Primates; Hominidae.